AACGCACGAGACCUGCGGACCUGCGGAGGGAUCAUUACCGAGUGAGGGCCCUCUGGGUCCAACCUCCCACCCGUGUUUAUCGUACCUUGUUGCUUCGGCGGGCCCGCCGCAAGGCCGCCGGGGGGCUUCCGUCCCCGGGUCCGCGCCCGCCGAAGACACCUGUGAACGCUGUAUGAAGAUUGCAGUCUGAGCGAAAAGCUAAAUCGUUAAAACUUUUAGCAAUGGAUCUCUAGAUCGGAA
Molecule: unclassified non-coding RNA, 240 nt
Filed under: soil metagenome
Description: partial contains 5.8S ribosomal RNA, internal transcribed spacer 2, and large subunit ribosomal RNA
Source: RNAcentral